GGGCCCGUAGCUCAGCCGGUAGAGCAGCGGACUUUUAAUCCGUUGGUCGGAGGUUCGAUUCCUCCCGGGCUCACUA
Molecule: transfer RNA, 76 nt
Filed under: Calditrichota bacterium
Lineage: Bacteria; Pseudomonadati; Calditrichota
Description: Calditrichaeota bacterium tRNA-Lys
Rfam family: tRNA
About the family: Transfer RNA (tRNA) molecules are approximately 80 nucleotides in length. Their secondary structure includes four short double-helical elements and three loops (D, anti-codon, and T loops). Further hydrogen bonds mediate the characteristic L-shaped molecular structure. tRNAs have two regions of fundamental functional importance: the anti-codon, which is responsible for specific mRNA codon recognition, and the 3' end, to which the tRNAs corresponding amino acid is attached (by aminoacyl-tRNA synthetases). tRNAs cope with the degeneracy of the genetic code in two manners: having more than one tRNA (with a specific anti-codon) for a particular amino acid; and 'wobble' base-pairing, i.e. permitting non-standard base-pairing at the 3rd anti-codon position.
Source: RNAcentral